ACUGCCGGUGACAAACCGGAGGAAGGUGGGGAUGACGUCAAGUCAUCAUGGCCCUUACGGCCUGGGCUACACACGUGCUACAAUGGUCGGUACAAAGGGUUGCCAAGCCGCGAGGUGGAGCUAAUCCCAUAAAACCGAUCGUAGUCCGGAUCGCAGUCUGCAACUCGACUGCGUGAAGUCGGAAUCGCUAGUAAUCGUGAAUCAGAAUGUCAACGGUGAAUUACGUUCCCGGGCCUU
Molecule: ribosomal RNA, 237 nt
Filed under: uncultured Pseudomonas sp.
Lineage: Bacteria; Pseudomonadati; Pseudomonadota; Gammaproteobacteria; Pseudomonadales; Pseudomonadaceae
Description: partial 16S ribosomal RNA
Rfam family: Bacterial small subunit ribosomal RNA
Source: RNAcentral